RNAcentral lists this ribosomal RNA (326 nucleotides) under uncultured eukaryote. Its description in RNAcentral is "partial 18S ribosomal RNA". It matches the Rfam family "Eukaryotic small subunit ribosomal RNA", at positions 1470 to 1796 of the family's 1831-position model. The record is from RNAcentral.
CCCUUAGAUGUCCUGGGCCGCACGCGCGCUACACUGAGUGUCUGAGAUACGAGUCUGCCUGGUCCGGCAAGGUCUAGGUAAUCGCUAAAAGACACAUCAUGCUUGGGAUAGAUUAUUGCAAAUAUUAAUCUUGAACGAGGAAUUCCUAGUAAGCGCAAGUCAACAGCUUGCGUUGAUUACGUCCCUGCCCUUUGUACACACCGCCCGUCGCUACUACUGAUUGGAUGUUUCGGUGAAGAUUCCGGAUAGGACUUUUUUGAUUUAUUUCAAUUUUGUCUUAAAAGCUAUCUAAACCUCAACAUUUAGAGGAAGGUGAAGUCGUAACA